Molecule: long non-coding RNA, 710 nt
Organism: Phalaenopsis equestris
Lineage: Eukaryota; Viridiplantae; Streptophyta; Magnoliopsida; Asparagales; Orchidaceae
Exons: 3
Source: RefSeq, a predicted model, not a curated record
UGCUUUUUCUUAGGAGAGGGACGGGAGGCAACGGUGUACCUUUCUCGGCGGCUUCAUGUAGGAUCUGGGUUUCUCGAUCCACUUCGAUCUUCUCUCCUUUCUUCUGUUUCUUUCUCUUAAUCCUUCUUUGAUGGAGCUAGGGUUUGAGGAGAUCUCUUCUAGUAUCGCCGAUCGAGGUGGAUCUGAUACCGUAUGCGGGCGAUUUGUUCGUGUUAAUAUUUUUGGCCAACGGGUAUUGGGAUCUUUCGGCAGAUCGGGAGUUGUUGGGGGCAAAGAUCGUUGCAAGGUGGAGGGAUUGAGUUUUGCGCCCUGGUUUGCACGCUUGACAACGAGAGAGAGCACGCUGGUCGGCGCUUAUGGGACGACUGCCAUGACUGUUUACUAGCGUGCUCUUUCUCGUAGUCAACCGUUUUUCUUUACCAGGGCUGCAGAAUCACCAGCGUCCAACGGAGGACCACUGGGCUGUGCUCUUAUUCUAGAUUUGAUGGCAUGACUGUUGGGCUAAGCCGUGAGGCCAUGAGCCCUAAGAUCGGGUGAUCUUCUAAAAGAAAGGGACAAUCAAACACUUGGGACUGCAACGUGGCAUAGUGGACUCUAGUACUUAGACCGGGAGGGGAUGGACCCAGGUUUGACAUUGAUGGUAGAGAAUGCUAGAGUAGGAGAAUCUAAGAGGGGUGUGGAGGAUGUCUUGUUGCUAUAUCAUAGACGCA